Molecule: non-coding RNA, 159 nt
Organism: Pediculus humanus corporis (human body louse)
Lineage: Eukaryota; Metazoa; Arthropoda; Insecta; Psocodea; Pediculidae
Source: Rfam
AACCCUGAACGGCGGAUCACUUGGCUCGUGGAUCGAUGAAGAACGCAGCUAACUGCGCGUCGACGUGUGAACUGCAGGACAUACGAACAUCGACGCUUCGAACGCACAUUGCGGUCCUUGGAAAAUAAUCGUUCCCGGACCACGCCUGUCUGAGGGUCG